Molecule: ribosomal RNA, 424 nt
Filed under: uncultured bacterium
Lineage: Bacteria
Description: partial 16S ribosomal RNA
Rfam family: Bacterial small subunit ribosomal RNA
Source: RNAcentral
AAUUUUGGACAAUGGGGGAAACCCUGAUCCAGCCAUCCCGCGUGUAUGAUGAAGGCUUUCGGGUGUUAAAGUAUUUUUGCACGGAAAGAAAGGGUACCCCCUAAUCCGGUUUCUUUCUACGGGCACCGACAGACAAGCCACCGCUGAACUCCGUACCAGAGCCCGCGGUAAUACGUAGGGUGCAAGCGUUAAUCGGAAUUACUGGGCUUAAAGCGUGUGUAGGCGAUUCGGAAAGAAAGAUGUGUAAUCCCAGGGCUCAACCUUGGAACUGCAUUUUUAACUGCCGAGCUAGAGUAUGUCAGAGGGGGGUAGAAUUCCACGUGUAGCAGUGAAAUGCGUAGAUAUGUGGAGGAAUACCGAUGGCGAAGGCAGCCCCCUGGGAUAAUACUGACGCUCAGACACGAAAGCGUGGGGAGCAAACAGG